ACCUGUCAGGGUUCAGGUGGUUUAGGUCUGAACGUGUCAGAGUUCAGGUGGUUUAGGUAUGAACCUGUCAGGGUUCAGGUGGUUUAGGUAUGAACCUGUCAGGGUUCAGGUGGUUUAGGUCUGAACUUGUCAGGGUUCAGAUGGUUUAGGUAUGAACUUGUCAGGGUUCAGAUGGUUUAGGUCUGAACUUGUCAGGGUUCAGAUGGUUUAGGUCUGAACUUGUCAGGGUUCAGGUGGUUUAGGUCUGAACUUGUCAGGGUUCAGGUGGUUUAGGUAUGAACUUGUCAGGGUUCAGGUGGUUUAGGUAUGAACUUGUCAGGGUUCAGAUGGUUUAGGUCUGAACUUGUCAGGGUUCAGGUGGUUUAGGUAUGAACUUGUCAGGGUUCAGGUGGUUUAGGUAUGAACUUGUCAGGGUUCAGGUGGUUUAGGUAUGAACUUGUCAGGGUUCAGAUGGUUUAGGUCUGAACUUGUCAGGGUUCAGGUGGGCUUAGGUAUGAACUUGUCAGGGUUCAGGUGGUUUAGGUAUGAACUUGUCAGGGUUCAGGUGGUUUAGGUAUGAACUUGUCAGGGUUCAGGUGGUUUAGGUAUGAACUUGUCAGGGUUCAGGUGGUUUAGGCAUGAACUAGUCAGGGUUCAGGUGGUUUAGGUAUGAACUUGUCAGGGUUCAGGUGGUUUGGGUAAAACGUGUUUUGGCACUAAAGCAAAAAGCUGUUUUUGUUUUUAGUGUUUUUUCAAGUAACUAAGGUCAAACUUGGAAAUAUUAUUGUGAAACCACAAGGUACGGGCACAAUUUAGGCGUAGGGGAAGGACUAUGUUUAUGUUUUGUAGUUAGUAAUAGUUUAAUUACUCAUUGGCUGUACACAGUGCAUACAAGUAGAACAGUAGCGAAACAAUCCGGACAUUUUGUCUAGUUUUUUUCUCCCCCUUACAUUCCUUCUCCUCCUCGUCUGUCUGUCUGUCCGUCCGUCCGUCCGUCAGUCCGUCCGUCCGUCCGUCCGUCUUUCUCUAAUCUCCAACAGUCCAUGACACCCCCCCGUUUCCCUCUGUGAGUCUAGAGGCUAGAGGAGAUACUCUGACGCCUGUGCAUAUUCUUAGCCUGCUGUAACCCUAUCUGUUUACUGUGUGGUGCAGUAUGGGAGGCUUUAAUGAGGUUGAUGGUGGGGAGCUUUUCCUGAACUUACCAUUUGUCGGAAGAAAGCUUUACCGUCUAGGUUGAGCCUGAUGUUUUGGCUGUGUGCAAAUGAGCUGUCGAUGCAUCAAGCUGUCAAAACACACGCACACAGGCACACACACACAUAGAUAAAUACACGCACACACACACACACACACACACACACACACACACACACACACACACACACACACACACACACACACACACACACACACACACACACACACACACACACACACACACACACACACACACACACACACACACACACGGUGGUCUUAUGUGACCCCUAGCCCCGGGUGACAGGAUGCCAGAGGGCAUCUCUGUUUCCCUGCUUGUCCCAAAAAUCAUAUUACCCAGAAUAUGACACCUCUAUGACACCCCUACCAUCUCACUAGCUUAUUGCGGCUGUUCUGUCAAAGUGGCACACCUACCCCAUUCAGUACAUAGACAGCCUUAUCACAGAGGAUACACCAGAAGGUACAGUGGUGGCGAUAACAUGGAGAUGGUUGAACUCUGUUUACCAUUACACACAACUGGGUUUAUCUGUAUCAGAGUCACUACAACACAUCUGCUGGAUCCAUAUUGGCGUUAAACCCCAGACAGCUGUUCUGUUGCUUAGUCGACACGUGUCUGACUGACUGACUGACUGACUGUCUGUCUGGAUGAUCCAGCUCACGUUGGUCCUGACACUCAGACAGACAGUCAGAUAGACAGUCAGUUAGACAGACAAUCAGUCAGAUGGACAGACAGUCAGACAGACAGUCAGAAAGGUCAGACAGUCAGUCAGACAGUCAGAUAGACAGACAGUUAGACAGACAAUCAGUCAGAUAGACAGAAAGUUAGACAGACAAUCAGUCAGAUAGACAGACAGUUAGACAGACAAUCAGUCAGACGGACAGACAGUCAGACAGACAGUCAGAAAGGUCAGACAGUUAGAAGGUCAGAUGGUCAGAAAUGUCAGACAGUCAAUCAGAUAGACAGUCAGAAAGGUCAGACAGUCAGUCAGACAGUCAGAUAGACAGACAGUUAGACAGACAAUCAGUCAGAUAGACAGACAGUUAGACAGACAAUCAGUCAGAUAGACAGACAGUUAGACAGACAAUCAGUCAGACGGACAGACAGUCAGACAGACAGUCAGAAAGGUCAGACAGUUAGAAGGUCAGAUGGUCAGAAAUGUCAGACGGUCAGUCAGUCAGUCAUUCAGAAAGACAGUCAGUCAUACAGACAGUCAAUCAGACAGACAGUCAGAAAGGUCAGUCAGACAGUCAGAAAGGUCAGACGGUCAGUCAGACAGUCAGAAAGGUCAGACAGUCAGUCAGUCAUUCAGAAAGGUCAGACAGUCAGUCAGACAGUCAAUCAGUCAGACAGUCAGUCAUACAGACAGUCAAUCAGACAGACAGUCAGACAGUCAAUCAGUCAGACAGUCAGUCAUACAGACAGUCAAUCAGACAGACAGUCAGACAGUCAGACAGUCAGACAGUCAGAAAGGUCAGACAGACAGUCAGACAGUCAGAAAGGUCAGACAGACAGUGAGACAGUCAGAAAGGUCAGUCAGACAGUCAGACAGUCAGACAGUCAGACAGACAGUCAGACAGUCAGACAGUCAGACAGACAGUCAGACAGUCAGAAAGGUCAGACAGAUUGAUUUCUUCCUGGUUUCUCUCAUUCUCUCUCCUUCCAGCCUCACCAGUAACUCUGCUCAGGUUGUGAUUCAGAUCUCCCAGUAAUGGUUUAAUUCUCUCCGCCAGUCUCUCCUCAGGCUCAGAUGGAUCCCGCCUGAUCCCGUCUGAUCCUGUCUGAUCCCGUCCCUGCGUCCCAAAUGGCACCAUAUUCCCUAUGUGCACUCUUAGAAUAUAAGGUGUUAUCUAGAACCUAAAAUGGUUAUUUGGCUGUCCCCAUAGGAGAGAACCUUCUGGUUUCAUGUAGAAAGGGUUCUACAUGGAACCAGAACGUUUUCUCCUAUGGGGACAGCCAAAGAACUCUUUUGGAACCCUUUUUUCUUAGGGUGUAGUGCACUAAUUUUGACCAGGGCUGAUGGGGCUUUGGUCAAAACUAGUGCACUAUGUCGGGAAUAGGGUGCCAUUUGGGAUGGAGGCCAUCUUAUGCUCCUAUCAGUGAGUGUUUCGUAAUAAUGCACAGCCGUUAGCACCGUGGUGCUGUAAAUAUGUAAUCUACACUGGUCCACUGGUCCUAUAUAGGACAUGUGAACUGGACAAUGUGCACGUACCAUUAGGAUGCUUUGCUUGACUGUGUUGGACUAUAUUGUUGUCCGACUGUGUUAGACAGACUGUGUUGUUGUCCGACUGUGUUAGACAGACUGUGUUGUUGUCCAACUCUGUUAGACAGACUGUGUUGUUGUCCGACUGUGUUAGACAGACUGUGUUGUUGUCCGACUGUGUUAAACAGACUGUGUUGUUGUCCGGCUGUGUUAGACAGACUGUGUUGUUGUCCUAUUCUGUUAAACAGACUGUGUUGUUGUCCGACUCUGUUAAACAGACUGUGUUGUUGUCCAACUCUGUUAAACAGACUGUGUUGUUGUCCGACUGUGUUGUUGUCCGACUGUGUUGUUGUCCGACUCUGUUAAACAGACUGUGUUGUUGUCUGACUGUGUUAGACAGACUGUGUUGUUAUCCGACUCUGUUAGACAGACUGUGUUGUUGUCCGACUCUGUUAGACAGACUGUGUUGUUGUCCGACUCUGUUAAACAGACUGUGUUGUUGUCCGACUGUGUUAGACAGACUGUGUUGUUGUCCGACUGUGUUAAACAGACUGUGUUGUUGUCCGACUGUGUUAGACAGACUGUGUUGUUGUCCUAUUCUGUUAAACAGACUGUGUUGUUGUCCGACUCUGUUAAACAGACUGUGUUGUUGUCCAACUCUGUUAAACAGACUGUGUUGUUGUCCGACUGUGUUGUUGUCCGACUCUGUUAAACAGACUGUGUUGUCGUCUGACUGUGUUAGACAGACUGUGUUGUUAUCCGACUCUGUUAGACAGACUGUGUUGUUGUCCGACUCUGUUAGACAGACUGUGUUGUUGUCCGACUCUGUUAAACAGACUGUGUUGUUGUCCGACUGUGUUAGACAGACUGUGUUGUUGUCCGACUCUGCUAAACAGACUGUGUUGUUGUCCGACCGUGUUAAACAGACUGUGUUGUUGUCCGACUGUGUUAGACAGACUGUGUUGUUGUCCGACUGUGUUUGACAGACUGUGUUGUUGUCCGACUGUGUUAGACAGACUGUGUUGUUGUCCGACUGUGUUAGACAGACUGUGUUGUUGUCCGACUGUGUUGUUGUCCGACCGUGUUAGACAGACUGUGUUGUUGUCCGACUGUGUUAGACAGACUGUGUUGUUGUCCGACUGUGUUAGACAGACUGUGUUGUUGUCCGACUGUGUUAGACAGACUGUGUUGUUGUCCGACUGUGUUAGACAGACUGUGUUGUUGUCCGACUGUGUUAGACAGACUGUGUUGUUGUCCGACUGUGUUAGACAGACUGUGUUGUUGUCCGACUGUGUUAGACAGACUGUGUUGUUGUCCGACUGUGUUAGACAGACUGUGUUGUUGUCCGACUGUGUUAGACAGACGGUGUUGUUGUCCGACUGUGUUUGACAGACGGUGUUGUUGUCCGACUGUGUUAGACAGACGGUGUUGUUGUCCGACUGUGUUUGACAGACGGUGUUGUUGUCCGACUGUGUUUGACAGACGGUGUUGUUGUCCGACUGUGUUAGACAGACGGUGUUGUUGUCCGACUGUGUUUGACAGACGGUGUUGUUGUCCGACUGUGUUUGACAGACGGUGUUGUUGUCCGACUGUGUUAGACAGACUGUGUUGUUGUCCGACUGUGUUAGACAGACUGUGUUGUUGUCCGACUGUGUUGUUGUCCGACUGUGUUAGACAGACUGUGUUGUUGUCCGACUGUGUUAGACAGACUGUGUUGUUGUCCGACUGUGUUAGACAGACUGUGUUGUUGUCCGACUGUGUUAAACAGACUGUGUUGUUGUCCGACUGUGUUAAACAGACUGUGUUGUUGUCCGACCGUGUUAGACAGACUGUGUUGUUGUCCGACUGUGUUAGACAGACUGUGUUGUUGUCCGACUGUGUUAGACAGACUGUGUUGUUGUCCGACUGUGUUAGACAGACUGUGUUGUUGUCCGACUGUGUUAGACAGACGGUGUUGUUGUCCGACUGUGUUUGACAGAUGGUGUUGUUGUCCGACUGUGUUAGACAGACGGUGUUGUUGUCCGACUGUGUUUGACAGACGGUGUUGUUGUCCGACUGUGUUUGACAGACGGUGUUGUUGUCCGACUGUGUUAGACAGACGGUGUUGUUGUCCGACUGUGUUUGACAGACGGUGUUGUUGUCCGACUGUGUUUGACAGACGGUGUUGUUGUCCGACUGUGUUAGACAGACUGUGUUGUUGUCCGACUGUGUUAGACAGACUGUGAUGUUGUCCGACUGUGUUGUUGUCCGACUGUGUUAGACAGACUGUGUUGUUGUCCGACUGUGUUAGACAGACUGUGUUGUUGUCCGACUGUGUUAGACAGACUGUGUUGUUGUCCGACUGUGUUAGACAGACUGUGUUGUUGUCCGACUGUGUUAGACAGACGGUGUUGUUGUCCGACUGUGUUUGACAGACGGUGUUGUUGUCCGACUGUGUUAGACAGACGGUGUUGUUGUCCGACUGUGUUUGACAGACGGUGUUGUUGUCCGACUGUGUUUGACAGACGGUGUUGUUGUCCGACUGUGUUAGACAGACGGUGUUGUUGUCCGACUGUGUUUGACAGACGGUGUUGUUGUCCGACUGUGUUUGACAGACGGUGUUGUUGUCCGACUGUGUUAGACAGACUGUGUUGUUGUCCGACUGUGUUAGACAGACUGUGUUGUUGUCCGACUGUGUUGUUGUCUGACUGUGUUAGACAGACUGUGUUGUUGUCCGACUGUGUUAGACAGACUGUGUUGUUGUCCGACUGUGUUAGACAGACUGUGUUGUUGUCCGACUGUGUUAAACAGACUGUGUUGUUGUCCGACUGUGUUAAACAGACUGUGUUGUUGUCCGACCGUGUUAGACAGACUGUGUUGUUGUCCGACUGUGUUAGACAGACGGUGUUGUUGUCCGACUGUGUUAGACAGACGGUGUUGUUGUCCGACUGUGUUUGACAGACUGUGUUGUUGUCCGACUCUGUUAGACAGACUGUGUUGUUGUCAGACUGUGUUUGACAGACUGUGUUGUUGUCCGACUGUGUUAGACAGACUGUGUUGUUGUCCGACUGACUCUGUAACGUAGUGAAGUAGAGCAGAGGUUCAACUCCUCAUGAUUGGGAAACAUCCUCAACAUAUCACACGUGGCAGAUUAUCUGACUUUGAUCAGAGUUUUCGGUUAUCGGCUUGCCUGUGUAAUCCAUACAAAGUGUUCUUCCUGGGAAUGGAAAUGUAGCUCAAUUUGAUCAAAUUAAUCAAGAGACACUUUGAUGUAGUUCGAGUUCAGAUUCAGGGUUCAAGUUAGAAUUUGACUUUAAAGGUGCAAUAUGCGAUUGGUACCAACAUUUUUGUGAUUUUAAAUGAAUGACAUUUACAUUUACAUUUAAGUCAUUUAGCAGACGCUCUUAUCCAGAGCGACUUACAAAUUACAAAUUACAUAAAUCCAUUGAUUAUUUUGCUAGCAGAUACCCAUAGACUUCCAGUCAUUGUGCUAACGCUAGUUAGCAUUGGCUUGCAAAACUACCCCUAACUACCUUCAUACUGGACACAGACAUAAAAAUGGUAUCCACUAGUUAAUCUGCCUCUGGGGAAGAAGAUACAAUCCUGAAGUAUCCUUUGAAGCUGGCCACUGAACAUCUUCACCUGACUAGAUGGAUUCUUCCCUAGUCAAGUGGUUGCAUUUUCUCCACUGACAGUUAGGGGAGGGAAAGAUCAUCCUGCAUCUGUACCUAAGGGAAAUUACACCUGGGAGGGAUUCAGGUGAAAUACCUGCAUGUGUGUGACGUCAGUGCAUGUGGUUGUGUGCCUUUCAUUUCAGAGGGGUUGUUGAUUUGUUAUCUACUGGUCUAUUACUGUUUAUCUGGGUAGGUUUAAUACUGUCUGUCUGGGUAGGUUUAAUACUGUCUGUCUGGGUAGGUUUAAUACUGUCUGUCUGGGUAGGUCUAAUACUGUCUGUCUGGGUAGGUCUAUUACUGUUUAUCUGGGUAGGUUUAAUACUGUCUAUCUGGGUAGGUUUAAUACUGUCUGUCUGGGUAGGUCUAAUACUGUCUGUCUGGGUAGGUCUAUUACUGUUUAUCUGGGUAGGUUUAAUACUGUCUAUCUGGGUAGGUUUAAUACUGUCUGUCUGGGUAGGUUUAAUACUGUCUAUCUGGGUAGGUCUAAUACUGUCUAUCUGGGUAGGUUUAAUACUGUCUGUCUGGGUAGGUUUAAUACUGUCUGUCUGGGUAGGUCUAAUACUGUCUGUCUGGGUAGGUCUAAUACUGUCUGUCUGGGUAGGUCUAAUACUGUCUAUCUGGGUAGGUCUAAUACUGUCUAUCUGGGUAGGUCUAAUACUGUCUAUCUGGGUAGGUUUAAUACUGUCUAUCUGGGUAGGUCUAAUACUGUCUAUCUGGGUAGGUUUAAUACUGUCUAUCUGGGUAGGUUUAAAACUGUCUAUCUGGGUAGGUUUAAUAC
Long non-coding RNA from Oncorhynchus keta (chum salmon), 7826 nucleotides. RefSeq lists it as uncharacterized. The record is from RefSeq and is a predicted model, not a curated record. NCBI's taxonomy places the organism in Eukaryota, Metazoa, Chordata, Actinopteri, Salmoniformes, Salmonidae. The transcript is spliced from 10 exons.